GGCGGACGGGUGAGUAAUACUUAGGAAUCUGCCCAUUAGUGGGGGACAACUCGGGGAAACUCGAGCUAAUACCGCAUACGCCCUACGGGGGAAAGCGGGGGAUCUUCGGACCUCGCGCUAAUGGAUGAGCCUAAGUCGGAUUAGCUUGUUGGUGAGGUAAAGGCUCACCAAGGCGACGAUCCGUAGCUGGUCUGAGAGGACGAUCAGCCACACUGGGACUGAGACACAGCCCAG
This 234-nucleotide ribosomal RNA is filed under the name uncultured bacterium. RNAcentral describes it as "partial 16S ribosomal RNA". It matches the Rfam family "Bacterial small subunit ribosomal RNA", at positions 97 to 334 of the family's 1533-position model. The record is from RNAcentral.